This 481-nucleotide ribosomal RNA is filed under the name Cardiocladius sp. MNK-2008. Its description in RNAcentral is "partial 16S ribosomal RNA". The stretch from base 325 to 481 matches the Rfam family "Bacterial large subunit ribosomal RNA", at positions 2473 to 2630 of the family's 2925-position model. The record is from RNAcentral. Lineage: Eukaryota; Metazoa; Arthropoda; Insecta; Diptera; Chironomidae.
GACCGUGCAAGGUAGCAUAAUCAUUAGUUUUUUAAUUGAGGACUUGUAUGAAGGGUUGGAUGAGAUAUAAGUUGUUUCUUUUAAUUUUUUAUUUUAACUUUAUAUUUUAGUUAAAAAGCUAAAAUAAAUAUCAAAGACGAGAAGACCCUAUAAAGCUUUAUAUUUUAAUGUUUAUAUUAAAAUAAAAUUUAAAUUUUUAAAAUAAAUAUUAAAAUAUUUUAUUGGGGUGAUAAUAAAAUUUAAAAAACUUUUAUUUUUUUUAUUCAUUUAUAAAUGAUUUAAAUUGAUCCAAUAUUUUUGAUUAAAAAAUUAAGUUACUUUAGGGAUAACAGCGUAAUUUUUUUAAAGAGUUCAAAUCGAUAAAAAAGAUUGCGACCUCGAUGUUGGACUAAGAGUUAGUUUAGGUGCAGAAGUUUAAAUUUUAAGUCUGUUCGACUUUUAAACUCUUACGUGAUCUGAGUUCAAACCGGUGUAAGCCAGG